Molecule: ribosomal RNA, 388 nt
Filed under: Salmonella enterica subsp. enterica
Lineage: Bacteria; Pseudomonadati; Pseudomonadota; Gammaproteobacteria; Enterobacterales; Enterobacteriaceae
Description: partial 23S ribosomal RNA
Rfam family: Bacterial large subunit ribosomal RNA
Source: RNAcentral
UGUUUCGGCUAGGGGGCCAUCCCGGCUUACCAACCCGAUGCAAACUGCGAAUACCGGAGAAUGUUAUCACGGGAGACACACGGCGGGUGCUAACGUCCGUCGUGAAGAGGGAAACAACCCAGACCGCCAGCUAAGGUCCCAAAGUCAUGGUUAAGUGGGAAACGAUGUGGGAAGGCCCAGACAGCCAGGAUGUUGGCUUAGAAGCAGCCAUCAUUUAAAGAAAGCGUAAUAGCUCACUGGUCGAGUCGGCCUGCGCGGAAGAUGUAACGGGGCUAAACCAUGCACCGAAGCUGCGGCAGCGACACUGUGUGUUGUUGGGUAGGGGAGCGUUCUGUAAGCCUGUGAAGGUGUGUCGUGAGGCAUGCUGGAGGUAUCAGAAGUGCGAAUG